CCAAUAGCGUAUAUUAAAGUUGUUGCAGUUAUAAAGCUCGUAGUUGAAUUUCGGGGUUAGUAGGUUGGUCAUGCCUCUGGUAUGUACUGGUCUCACUGAUUCCUCCUUCCUGAUGAGCCGUAAUGCCAUUAAUUUGGUGUUGCGGGGAAUUUGGACUGUUACUUUGAAAAAAUUAGAGUGUUUAAAGCAAGCUAACGCUUGAAUACAUUAGCAUGGAAUAAUGAAAUAGGACGUUCGAUCCUAUUUUGUUGGUUUCUAGGAUUGACGUAAUGAUUAAUAGGGAUAGUUGGGGGCAUUAGUAUUCAAUUGUCAGAGGUGAAAUUCUUGGAUUUAUUGAAGACUAACUACUGCGAAAGCAUUUGCCAAGGAUGUUUUCAUUAAUCAAGAACGAAAGUUAGGGGAUCGAAGACGAUCAGAUACCGUCGUAGUCUUAACCAUAAACUAUGCCGACUAGGGAUCGGAUGAUGUUAAUUUUUUAACGACUCAUUCGGCGCCUUACG
This 500-nucleotide ribosomal RNA is filed under the name uncultured Glomeromycotina. RNAcentral describes it as "SSU rRNA". It matches the Rfam family "Eukaryotic small subunit ribosomal RNA", at positions 591 to 1092 of the family's 1831-position model. The record is from RNAcentral. Lineage: Eukaryota; Fungi; Glomeromycota.